RNAcentral lists this ribosomal RNA (455 nucleotides) under uncultured bacterium. RNAcentral describes it as "partial 16S ribosomal RNA". It matches the Rfam family "Bacterial small subunit ribosomal RNA", at positions 28 to 507 of the family's 1533-position model. The record is from RNAcentral.
GAUGAACGCUGGCAGAAUGCUUAACACAUGCAAGUCAACUUGAAAUUCGGUUUGGGUGGCGGACGGGUGAGUAACGCGUACCGAACUUGCCUCACAGUUAGGGACAACUUUUGGAAACGAAUGCUAAUACCUGAUAUUAUGAUUUUAGGGCAUCCUUGAAUUAUGAAAGCUAUAUUCGCUUGGAGAGAGCUUUGCGUCCCAUUAGCUAGUUGGAGAGGUAGCGGCUCACCAAGGCGACGAUGGGUGGCCGCCAUGGGAGGGGGACCGGCGACAAGGGGACUGAGAGACGGCCCCGAUGCCUACGGGGGGCAGCAGUGGGGAAAAUUGUGAAAUAGGCGGAAGUCUGAUGCAGCAACGCUGCGUGCGGGAAGAUGGAUUUUGGGGGGAAAAAAGGUUUUUCCUGUGAGGAAGAAAAAGUGACGGUAACCGAUAAAGAAGCAAAGGCUAAAUACGUG